CUACACAUGCAGUCGAGCGCACCUUCGGGUGAGCGGCGGACGGGUUAGUAACGCGUGGGAACAUACCCUUUUCUACGGAAUAGCCUCGGGAAACUGAGAGUAAUACCGUAUAAGCCCUUCGGGGGAAAGAUUUAUCGGGAAAGGAUUGGCCCGCGUUAGAUUAGAUAGUUGGUGGGGUAAUGGCCUACCAAGUCUACGAUCUAUAGCUGGUUUUAGAGGAUGAUCAGCAACACUGGGACUGAGACACGGCCCAGACUCCUACGGGAGGCAGCAGUGGGGAAUCUUAGACAAUGGGCGCAAGCCUGAUCUAGCCAUGCCGCGUGUGUGAUGAAGGUCUUAGGAUCGUAAAGCACUUUCGCCAGGGAUGAUAAUGACAGUACCUGGUAAAGAAACCCCGGCUAACUCCGUGCCAGCAGCCGCGGUAAUACGGAGGGGGUUAGCGUUGUUCGGAAUUACUGGGCGUAAAGCGUACGUAGGCGGAUUGGAAAGUUGGGGGUGAAAUCCCAGGGCUCAACCCUGGAACUGCCUCCAAAACUAUCAGUCUAGAGUUCGAGAGAGGUGAGUGGAAUUCCAAGUGUAGAGGUGAAAUUCGUAGAUAUUUGGAGGAACACCAGUGGCGAAGGCGGCUCACUGGCUCGAUACUGACGCUGAGGUACGAAAGUGUGGGGAGCAAACAGGAUUAGAUACCCUGGUAGUCCACACCGUAAA
RNAcentral lists this ribosomal RNA (708 nucleotides) under Sulfitobacter pontiacus. RNAcentral describes it as "bacterial SSU rRNA". It matches the Rfam family "Bacterial small subunit ribosomal RNA", at positions 49 to 806 of the family's 1533-position model. The record is from RNAcentral. Lineage: Bacteria; Pseudomonadati; Pseudomonadota; Alphaproteobacteria; Rhodobacterales; Roseobacteraceae.